Gasterosteus aculeatus aculeatus (three-spined stickleback) is the source of this 531-nucleotide non-coding RNA. The record is from RefSeq and is a predicted model, not a curated record. Lineage: Eukaryota; Metazoa; Chordata; Actinopteri; Perciformes; Gasterosteidae.
UCUGAAGCUCCUCUGUGUGGGGAACAUGACAGCAGGACCAAAGCUCAGAGGACCCAUCAGAGACCAGGACCUGCACCUGAUCCCCAACCUGGUCCGGUGUCUGGACCUGCACCCAGCUGUGUGUCCAUGAAGAGUAACCGGUCUAUGGAUGCUCCUCUAAAAUUCAACGAUGUCCGUCCCCCUGUGGAUGCAAGGUCACAUCAGCAGAGAGGAAAGUCUCCUGAACCCAGAUGUUUGUCCAUGAAGAGAGAUCGGUCUCCUCAUCGAUCGAUUAACUUCAAAGAUGAUCAGUCUAUUGAUCGUUUGAUUGACUUCAAAGAUCAUCAGUCUAUUGAUCGUUUGAUUGACUUCAAAGAUGGACGCCGUUCUUAUGACCCACAGUAAGUUCUUAAACAGAUGAAGAACUGAAGAUCCUUAGUUAUGAAUUACAGAAUGUCCGUACAUUGUUUAAAGUGACGAUCAUCAUGACAGAACUCAUUAUCUUCAUCUAACUGGUCUGUGAGAGUUUUAGUGUGAAUCAUUAAAUGUAAA